AGCUCGUGCCGUCGAGGUGUCGGGUUAAGGUACCCACUAACGAGCGCAACCCUACCCUUUACGUUUGCCAUCAGGUAAUGCUGGGGACUCUAAAGGAACUGCCUACGCAAGUAGUGAGGAAGGCGGGGAUGACGUCAAAUCAGCACGGCCCUUACGUCCAGGGCUACACACGUGCUACAAUGGCCGAUACAGAGGGCAGCUACCUGGUGACAGGAUGCAAAUCUCCAAAGUCGGUCUCAGUUCGGAUCGGAGUCUGCAACCCGACUCCGUGAAGUUGGAUUCGCUAGUAAUCGCGCAUCAGCCAUGGCGCGGUGAAUACGUUCCCGGGCCUU
RNAcentral lists this ribosomal RNA (332 nucleotides) under uncultured Sphingobacteriales bacterium. Its description in RNAcentral is "bacterial SSU rRNA". It matches the Rfam family "Bacterial small subunit ribosomal RNA", at positions 1057 to 1382 of the family's 1533-position model. The record is from RNAcentral. Lineage: Bacteria; Pseudomonadati; Bacteroidota; Sphingobacteriia; Sphingobacteriales.